This 253-nucleotide ribosomal RNA is filed under the name uncultured bacterium. RNAcentral's name for it is "partial 16S ribosomal RNA". It matches the Rfam family "Bacterial small subunit ribosomal RNA", at positions 524 to 776 of the family's 1533-position model. The record is from RNAcentral. RNAcentral also lists the same sequence under 1 other name.
UACGGAGGGUGCGAGCGUUGUCCGGAAUCACUGGGCGUAAAGGGCGCGUAGGCGGCUCGAUAAGGGGGCGGUGAAAGCCCGGGGCUCAACCCCGGGUCGGCCGUGCCGACUGUCGGGCUGGAGCACGGUAGAGGCAGAUGGAAUUCCGGGUGUAGCGGUGGAAUGCGUAGAGAUCCGGAAGAACACCGGUGGCGAAGGCGGUCUGCUGGGCCGUGGCUGACGCUGAGGCGCGACAGCGUGGGGAGCAAACAGG